Molecule: ribosomal RNA, 499 nt
Filed under: uncultured bacterium
Lineage: Bacteria
Description: partial 16S ribosomal RNA
Rfam family: Bacterial small subunit ribosomal RNA
Source: RNAcentral
GACGAACGCUGGCGGCGGGCCUAAUACAUGCAAGUCGAGCGAAGUUUUUCUGGUGCUUGCACUAGAAAAACUUAGCGGCGAACGGGUGAGUAACACGUAAAGAACCUGCCUCAUAGACUGGGACAACUAUUGGAAACGAUAGCUAAUACCGGAUAACAGUAUUUCUCGCAUGAGAGAUAUUUAAAAGUUGGUUAUGCUAACACUAUGAGAUGGCUUUGCGGUGCAUUAGCUAGUUGGUGGGGUAAAGGCCCACCAAGGCGACGAUGCAUAGCCGACCUGAGAGGGUGAUCGGCCACACUGGGACUGAGACACGGCCCAGACUCCUACGGGAGGCAGCAGUAGGGAAUAUUCCGCAAUGGGCGAAAGCCUGACGGAGCAACGCCGCGUGAGUGAAGAAGGAUUUCGGUUCGUAAAGCUCUGUUGUUAGGGAAGAAUGGAUAUGUAGUAACUAUACAUGUAAGAGACGGUACCUAACCAGAAAGCCACGGCUAACUACGUG